UUCAUUCCGAGGCUUCAUUCUUCAUUAGAAAUACGCAAGAAGUUCGUUGUCAUCACACAAUAUUUUAUUUUACGAUCUUUUCUAAAUAAUGUUUGCUAUUUGUACGAAUUAUGGGAUUUACUUCUUUCUUUUACCGAUGGAACUUCCAAAAUUUCUUUUAAAUAAUUUUCCAUAGGCGGUAAUGGUUUAUCCGGAUUAAUAACACGAUGCGAUAAUAUGUGCCAUUUGUGUUGUAUUUCAGGAUUUGGCACAUAUCCCGGUAAAAAAUACUGACUUCCAUCUAUCUCACAACUAUCCCUGUUUAAAAAUAUAUAACUACAUGGAAGAUGCUUAACUAAGUGUACUAAAGUACUAAUAUUCUUACUGUGUAUCAGAUAACAUCAGAGAAUUUAUUAAACUAUCUACAGCUUCAUUUUGUUCUUCCAAUAAUUGUUUCAUCACUGACUUCAUGGAUCUUGUUUCCAUAACUCUUCUGUCUUCUGCAAAUACUAAUUCUAUUUCUACUAAGCACUUACCCAUGGUUCAUCAGGAAUAUCAAUACAAGGAAACAACGCAACCAUUCUAGGUGAACUAUUAUUUCCAAGAACUUUUCUCACAAUAGCCACUGAAUUUGUUUUUUGCAUUGCAAGCACCAAACUAUAAAAUGGCUUUGUUAUAUUCUAAAAAAAUCAGGAUAAAUACAUAUAUUAAUUUGAAAUUUAUAAAUAAAAUAAUAAAAUAUACCUCUGAUUCCUUGGCUGGUAAAAGAA
Frieseomelitta varia is the source of this 749-nucleotide long non-coding RNA. RefSeq lists it as uncharacterized. The record is from RefSeq and is a predicted model, not a curated record. Lineage: Eukaryota; Metazoa; Arthropoda; Insecta; Hymenoptera; Apidae. The transcript is spliced from 3 exons.